RNAcentral lists this non-coding RNA (115 nucleotides) under Candidatus Microgenomates bacterium. Lineage: Bacteria; Candidatus Microgenomatota. The record is from RNAcentral.
GUGCCAAUUUUUGGCGGGGGUGAGAAGGCUUUUAAACUCGCGGGAACCAGGCGUGAUUCCUGGGCUAUGCCGUAGCUGUUACAGCCAGAAGACCGGCCUUAGAGGGGGUAAAGCA